CAAAUUAUCUUAUAAGUUAAGAAUUUCAUUUACGCUGAAAUGACUGUCGUGCAAUUCGAUAUAAUUUGA
RNAcentral lists this transfer RNA (69 nucleotides) under Brephallus tramlapensis. RNAcentral's name for it is "tRNA-Val". The record is from RNAcentral. Lineage: Eukaryota; Metazoa; Arthropoda; Insecta; Blattodea; Blaberidae.